UUUGAGAGCUCUAAUAAAUUUAAAACUGUCAAACUGUAUCUAUCCUUUUCAUAUUAGGUACAUUAGUAAGAAGAGCAUACGAAUACUCCAAAAUUCAGUUGCCAACCGAAUCAGUACCAUUAUCUUUUAC
This is a long non-coding RNA of Maniola jurtina (meadow brown), 130 nucleotides long. RefSeq lists it as uncharacterized. The record is from RefSeq and is a predicted model, not a curated record. The transcript has 3 exons. NCBI's taxonomy places the organism in Eukaryota, Metazoa, Arthropoda, Insecta, Lepidoptera, Nymphalidae.